Long non-coding RNA from Apis laboriosa (Himalayan honeybee), 588 nucleotides. RefSeq lists it as uncharacterized. The record is from RefSeq and is a predicted model, not a curated record. NCBI's taxonomy places the organism in Eukaryota, Metazoa, Arthropoda, Insecta, Hymenoptera, Apidae. The transcript has 3 exons.
GAAAAGUUCAAUAAUAUGAUAUUAGAUUAAUCGCAAAGUGAUUAGUUGUUUCAACUUUUGAAUAUGUAAAAAUAAGAAUAAUUUUAUCGACAUAGUAGAAGAAAAAGUUUCAUUGAAGGCCAUUCGUACAACGUGAAAGAAGUGGAAAUAAAUCAUCCCUGGCAAUACAGGAACAUAAUCAAGCAAAUUUAUCACAAAUCGUUUCUCUUUUCUUUUUUUUUUGCAGUGGUCAUAUUUAAUGCUUAUACUAAUGUUUCAAAUGAUGUUUGAAUUGAAGUAUUCGAAAAAUUCGAAUGAAAAUGAAAAAAAAAAAGUAACGAAGUGUUUCAAUUUUUGAAGGUUAGCAAGAUCCAAGUGAUAAUCCAGUACUUCAGCAAGGCGUAACAAGUGUCUGUGUGACGUCACGCGGCUUUCUGGAGGCGGAGCCUGUGAUUGGGGGAGCAAGUGGGGGUGGGCUCUCCCGUAUCGUGGAUCGUUUGCCCCACCCUCGGGAUUUUGUUCCUUCGUACCACCGCUACUUUCAACCUCCUCCUUUUCUCUCCCUCGAUCUCUUUUCCUCUCUUUUGAAGUUUGUUCGGUGACCCCCCA